UUAAAUUGAAGAGUUUGAUCAUGGCUCAGAUUGAACGCUGGCGGCAGGCCUAACACAUGCAAGUCGAACGGUAACAGGAAGCAGCUUGCUGCUUCGCUGACGAGUGGCGGACGGGUGAGUAAUGUCUGGGAAACUGCCUGAUGGAGGGGGAUAACUACUGGAAACGGUGGCUAAUACCGCAUAACGUCGCAAGACCAAAGAGGGGGACCUUCGGGCCUCUUGCCAUCAGAUGUGCCCAGAUGGGAUUAGCUUGUUGGUGAGGUAACGGCUCACCAAGGCGACGAUCCCUAGCUGGUCUGAGAGGAUGACCAGCCACACUGGAACUGAGACACGGUCCAGACUCCUACGGGAGGCAGCAGUGGGGAAUAUUGCACAAUGGGCGCAAGCCUGAUGCAGCCAUGCCGCGUGUAUGAAGAAGGCCUUCGGGUUGUAAAGUACUUUCAGCGGGGAGGAAGGUGUUGUGGUUAAUAACCGCAGCAAUU
RNAcentral lists this ribosomal RNA (482 nucleotides) under Salmonella enterica subsp. enterica serovar Typhimurium var. 5-. RNAcentral describes it as "bacterial SSU rRNA". It matches the Rfam family "Bacterial small subunit ribosomal RNA", at positions 1 to 477 of the family's 1533-position model. Lineage: Bacteria; Pseudomonadati; Pseudomonadota; Gammaproteobacteria; Enterobacterales; Enterobacteriaceae. The record is from RNAcentral.